GAUGAACGCUGGCGGCGUGCUUAAUACAUGUAAGUCGAACGAGGUGCUUUUGUCUUCGGAUGGAAGUAUCCUAGUGGCGAACGGGUGAGUAACGCGUUGGUGACCUGCCCCAAAGUGUGGGAUAACAACUCGAAAGGGUUGCUAAUACCGCAUGUGAUCGCUUGGAUUAGACGCCUUGCGAUUAAAGGUGCAAACCGCUUUGGGAGGGACCUGCGUCCCAUCAGCUAGUUGGUAGGGUAAUAGCCUACCAAGGCAAUGACGGGUAGGGGACCUGAGAGGGUGACCCCCCACAUUGGCACUGAAACACGGGCCAGACACCUACGGGUGGCAG
This 331-nucleotide ribosomal RNA is filed under the name uncultured Chloroflexota bacterium. Its description in RNAcentral is "bacterial SSU rRNA". It matches the Rfam family "Bacterial small subunit ribosomal RNA", at positions 28 to 351 of the family's 1533-position model. The record is from RNAcentral. Lineage: Bacteria; Bacillati; Chloroflexota.